GGGGCUGAUUCUGGAUUCGACGGGAUUUGCGAAACCCAAGGUGCAUGCCGAGGGGCGGUUGGCCUCGUAAAAAGCCGCAAAAAAUAGUCGCAAACGACGAAAACUACGCUUUAGCAGCUUAAUAACCUGCUUAGAGCCCUCUCUCCCUAGCCUCCGCUCUUAGGACGGGGAUCAAGAGAGGUCAAACCCAAAAGAGAUCGCGUGGAAGCCCUGCCUGGGGUUGAAGCGUUAAAACUUAAUCAGGCUAGUUUGUUAGUGGCGUGUCCGUCCGCAGCUGGCAAGCGAAUGUAAAGACUGACUAAGCAUGUAGUACCGAGGAUGUAGGAAUUUCGGACGCGGGUUCAACUCCCGCCAGCUCCACUA
Molecule: transfer-messenger RNA, 363 nt
Filed under: Escherichia coli
Lineage: Bacteria; Pseudomonadati; Pseudomonadota; Gammaproteobacteria; Enterobacterales; Enterobacteriaceae
Rfam family: transfer-messenger RNA
About the family: Bacterial tmRNA, also known as 10Sa RNA or SsrA, is named for its dual tRNA and mRNA-like properties. Its role is to liberate the mRNA from a stalled ribosome.
Source: RNAcentral